Molecule: ribosomal RNA, 301 nt
Filed under: uncultured bacterium
Lineage: Bacteria
Description: partial 16S ribosomal RNA
Rfam family: Bacterial small subunit ribosomal RNA
Source: RNAcentral
CAGCAGCCGCGGUAAUACAGAGGGUGCAAGCGUUAAUCGGAAUUACUGGGCGUAAAGCGCGCGUAGGUGGUUUGUUAAGUUGAAUGUGAAAUCCCCGGGCUCAACCUGGGAACUGCAUCCAAAACUGGCAAGCUAGAGUAGGGCAGAGGGUGGUGGAAUUUCCUGUGUAGCGGUGAAAUGCGUAGAUAUAGGAAGGAACACCAGUGGCGAAGGCGACCACCUGGGCUCAUACUGACACUGAGGUGCGAAAGCGUGGGGAGCAAACAGGAUUAGAUACCCCGGUAGUCCCUGUCUCUUAUAC